Long non-coding RNA from Sapajus apella (tufted capuchin), 2236 nucleotides. RefSeq lists it as uncharacterized. Lineage: Eukaryota; Metazoa; Chordata; Mammalia; Primates; Cebidae. The record is from RefSeq and is a predicted model, not a curated record. The transcript is spliced from 5 exons.
UGGGGGCGGCAGGGGAAGAAACGGGUGUGGGACAGUUAUGUGAGCUGUCAGAAGGACUCGGAAAAUACUGCAGAGUGAUUGAGAGUGCAGAGGGGCCUGGGUUCUCAUCUGUGCGCCCUCUCAUCCUAGCUGGGUUAUCCAGGGCCCCUUGAAAGGCUCUGCUAAGCCUGGGUUUCCAGGACAGCAAUAAGGUCGCUGUGAUAAACAUAAUGUAGGUAAGCAGUUGGCACAGUGCCUUGCAUAGAAUAGUCCUCAGAUGUUUACUAUUGUCGUUAUUGAUAUUAUUAAUAAAAGUGACCUAGCUCCUCCCCUCGAGAAGUUCACAAGGGGCCCAAAUGUGACAGGGGGAGCUAUGAGAAGGCAGGAGGUGACUUCCUGCCAAAGAGGGAGCUAGGGCAAGGAGAAGGCGCCGCCAAGCCUGCGUUCCCCUUCGCACGCGGCUGGCCUCGGUGGCCACAAGGGGAGCUCAGCAAGGCCGGGGGUUCGGGAGGCGGGUCCUGCACAGCGACUCAGCCUCCUCCGUGUGGCCGCAGGCCUGGAGAGUAUGGCGCCGCACGCCCCUCGCCGGCUUGCCCGAGAGGCGACAGCGCGGCGCCGGGAGGCUGGCGUCCAAUUUAAUCACCAGGCCGCGCGGGACGGAGGCCGGGGGUCCCUAUUUUCCGUCAGGGUUCGCGGUCACGAGUGGAGCCCACCGAGCACUCUACUUCCCUGGCAUUUUCACAGCAUUAACUGGAUGACAGAGUCUAGAGGCAGGGCUCGCGCCGACACUGACUAGCAACGCCGACCUCGGAACCGCGCCCGGCCGCGCGCCCCUGCCCCUUGCCCCCUGCCCCCUCCCGCACCGGGCCGGCUCCCCCUCCCGGCCGGGCUCGGCGGCGCGGGCGCGGGGGCGUGGGCGGAGCCGCGGCGCAGCAGUUCAUUACGUUGGACAGGGCGCGUCUGCGCCUCGGGCUGCCGCGGCUCUCCUGGCCUCCGCCUGCAGCCGGCAGCGGAACGGGGGCAGGCGGCUGAGACGGGCGAGCUAUUUGCAUUCCCCGGCAGUCAUUUUUAUAUGCGGAGGUGCUUUGGAACAGGGCAGGGAUGGAGGGAAGGUCCUUGUAUCUUAAACAUCAAACGCCCAGGAAAAUAAUUAGGAGGUGUUUGGGAUUCUGCUGAAAACCCUGACGACAGACCAGAAAUAUCUCCAAGAGCACCAGCAACCCCAGCUAUCUGGACCCGAAGUGGAUAUGCUUAGAGGCAUCCUGGCCCACCCCGCCCCUGACCCCAGAGAAGAUGCUGCCGCACUCAGAAGACGCCAGAGCCAGCCACACUGCAGGUCUGGAAGGAUCAAGCAAGGCAGCCUGCUCAGUGAAGGCUUCCUCUCCUGUAGCAGGAAGAGCAACGUUAACAAAUACGCAGGGCUGGACUACCCUGGAGAUGUAAUGACCAGAGCUGAGACCCCCGAAACCAGAGUGACUAUGGAGGACUUUCAUCACCUUGUUCCUGAACAUCUAAUGCCUCUCAGCUCCAGGAGGCCACUGAGGUGAAACUGAAGUCUAGUUUUCCUUGGAAGCCAGCAGCCUGUCCACCUGCCCCACUUCCCUGCCUCUUGCAGCCUCCACUCAAACACUACCAUGGUUUGGGAACACUAAAAAACUAGAAAAUACAGAAAUAUAUCAAGAAGAAAAAAAUUUAAAAAUCAACCUGAAUCCCACCAACCAGAGACAGCUAUUAAUGAUUGUGGUAUAUUUAUUGAAUUUACUAAAGUCAUGUAUGCUAGGCACUGUGGAGGACUGCAAAAAGAUUUCAAGGGCUGCACCAUCUUGUUGGAAAGAUGCCUAGACAGCAUUUGAGGAACACUGAUUGUGUUUGAUGACACAUAGCUGCUAACAGUUACAUGGAACUUUCUAUAUGCUGUAUACAAACAUACAAAUGUAUGUAUGUAUAUUUACUUAACCCUCACAACAGCUAUUGCUACUAUUAUGAAUCCUGUUUUAACAUGAGAAAACCAAAACAUGGAGAGGUUAAGUAAUUUGCCCAAGAUUACACAGCUAAUAUUGGUGGAACUGUGAUUAGGAUCCAGGCAUUCAGGUUCCAGAGUUCAUACUCUUCACAUACCACAUGUAUCUUGAAUAUAACAAUAUAGAGAAAAUGAAUUGUAGAAAGUACAUGUCUAGGUAAGCAUUUUCCAGAGGUGACUUUUUUUUUUUUUGCAUUGGGUUUAUAAACUUUCAACAAUAAAGCAGGUUGGACUUUA